Molecule: non-coding RNA, 111 nt
Organism: Otolemur garnettii (small-eared galago)
Lineage: Eukaryota; Metazoa; Chordata; Mammalia; Primates; Galagidae
Source: Rfam
GCUUGUGCUCACUUCAGCAAUGCAUAUGCUAAGGUCAGAACAAUACAGAGAAGAUUAGCAUGACCCCUGUGCAAAGAAGACACACAAAUUCAUGAAGCAUUCCAUAUUUUU